CCUGACCUCAAGUGAUCCGCCCGCCUCGGCCUUCCACAGUGCUGGGAUUACAGGCGUGAGCCACUGCGCCCGGCCUCGAAACACUUUUCAAGCCACGCACUCUCCUUUCCUCUUUAUGGAUGAGAAACUGAGUCAUAAAGAGGUGAAAUGGCCAGUAAAGGUCAAAGGACAACUCGUUCCUUCGGCUCAGGCUCCGGGGAUUCAGAACCUGCGGAUGUGGAGGGCCAGAGGUCUGAAUUUGCAAGUUGGGCAAUGGGGAAAGCCUUCACAAAGGAGAAAGCAUUUGGGCUGGAGUUGGGGAGGAGUAGGAGUCAACAGACAGAGAAGAGAGUAAAGGACAAGGCCAUCAUUCCAGGUUUAGGAAGCAAGUACAAAGACACAGAGAAAUGAAAAGGCUUGGCCUGUUUGGAGAAUGUCAAGCUGUCUGGGGUUGAGAGAAAGAGAUUCUAACAAGGCUUCCAUUAAAGAGGCUAUAUUUGCUGCUUGGACAUUUUCUAGCUCUUCUGAGACAACUUUUUGUUGAGUUAAGCGAAAAUGAAUGAAAAUCAGAUGGACCAUAUUUCUCUUGAAUACACACGGGCUUAAAAACGAAGGGGAAAAAGAACUUGACAGAAUGUGUCUUGGCUUUUGCCAAACCCAAAGUAUUUGAAAAAUCACACAGUACACAUCUCGAACCCAAAAACAUGCCUGGAUUCUACCACCCCUAAUUGCAGCUGCAGCCAUUUAAUAAAAUGAAUUGUGUACAAGAAAA
Macaca mulatta (Rhesus monkey) is the source of this 751-nucleotide non-coding RNA. The record is from RefSeq and is a predicted model, not a curated record. Lineage: Eukaryota; Metazoa; Chordata; Mammalia; Primates; Cercopithecidae.